GCAAGGAAUUUUCGUCAAUGGGCGCAAGCCUGAACGAGCAACGCCGCGUGGAGGAUGACGGCCUUCGGGUUGUAAACUCCUUUUGGGGUGGACGAUGAUGACGGUACACUCCGAAUCAGCCCCGGCUAACUCUGUGCCAGCAGCCGCGGUAAGACAGAGGGGGCAAGCGUUGUCCGGAAUUACUGGGCGUACAGCGCACGCAGGUGGCCGAUUAAGUGUCGGGUGAAAGCCCCGCGCUCAACGCGGGGAGGCCUCGGCAGACUGGUGGGCUCGAGGGGUGCAGAGGGUCGUGGAAUUGCCGGUGUAGUGGUGAAAUGCGUAGAGAUCGGCAGGAACACCAAGGGCGAAGGCAGCGACCUGGGCAGACCCUGACACUCAGGUGCGACAGCGUGGGGAGCGAACCGGAUUAGAAACCCGAGUAGUCC
RNAcentral lists this ribosomal RNA (425 nucleotides) under uncultured bacterium. Its description in RNAcentral is "bacterial SSU rRNA". It matches the Rfam family "Bacterial small subunit ribosomal RNA", at positions 354 to 796 of the family's 1533-position model. The record is from RNAcentral.